CACUGUACCGCCUGUGACUCACUGCAUCGGGUUCCUCGCUACUGCUCCAGAUCCUGCCCACUCUUUCAUCUCCCUACCCUUCAAUCCCUCUUCGUUUCCACACGCCAUUGUCGACGCUCCUGCAGACGCCAGCUGCCCCUGCACUUCCCCCGCCUGCACUCUUUCAUCUAUUUGGCUUCAUUGCUCUCGGAUUUUUUCCCCUCACUAUGAUGGCCUCACACGGACCGAAUCUGUGAGGAGAAAUUACUUCAUCAGUUUCGAUAGCUUCAUCCUCCGGCUCUCCUGUACGUUCCUGUCAUUAUUGCUAGGGGAGCCCAAGAACCUCUGAACCAGCUGCAUUGUGCUCCGGUUCCUCCAUUCAUUAAGUCAGGGGAAUAUGUCUGCUUACAGCCCUUUAUCUUCCUUGGCACCAAGAGAUCGAUUGAAAACAAUUUUUGUACGUGUCAUGAGGAAAUGGGAAUUCAGGGGCCUCAACGAUGAUGGCCCUCUGCAGCAUAUUGAUCUUAUCCUAGCAGAUAGCCAGGGAAAUGCUAUGUAUGCUGAGAUACCAUCUGCUGAAGCUGGGAGAAGUUACAUCAUGAGUAGAUUCAGAGUGCGCAAUGCCAAAGAUUAGUUCAAACCUGUCCCUGCUCCGUACAUGCUCGAGCUAACCUGCCACACACGUGUUACCACCGCAGACCCUGGUUCAUUCCCUGAAUAUGUAUACAAUCCAACACCAUUUUCUGAGCUGAAGAAUUUCGUUGGUGACAGGAAAAAAAUUCAUGAUGUGCUAGGUAUAUUGGUUGAAGUUGCGGAGCCUGAAUGGGUCCCCUUUUCCAAUCAGCCUAAGCCAAACUUGCGGAGGAACAUUACAAUCAAGGAUGCCAGUGACAUUGAGAUACAGAUUUCCCUACGGGGACAGAAAGCUUUAAAUUUUACAAUCGAAUCUUCAGAAUCCUCAGUGGAACAUAUACCUACUGCAAUCCUUUUAACAGGCUGCCUUGUGAAGGCAUAUCAACGCCAACUUUACCUAAGUGGUCACUCUGCCUGCCACUGGUACCUAAAUCCAAACAUUCCAGAAUCUCACAAUCUCAUCCAAAGGAAAAUGGCUGCGCUUGCAUUGUCACUAUCACACGGCUACUAGAUGCCACCACAUGGUGGUUCCCUUCUUGCAAUUUCUGUAACAAAACUUGCAAACAGGAGGACGGCGACUUGAUAUGCUAUGAAUGUGGAACUACUAAUAAAUACACAUACAAGUACAAGCUCAGCUUCAUUGCGGGUGAUGGUACUGAAGAGGCCGAAAUGAUCUGUUUCGGAGAAAUUGGACGUCGGAUUAUUGGGAAGCCAGUCAAAACAGUUAUGUGUUCUACGAAACAGGAAGAUUUAAUCCCUCUUGAUAUUGCAUCCAUUGUUUCUUCCAAGUUCACAUUUUGCUGUGACAAUGAGUAAGAAGAGUUAUCGCCUUCCACAAAAAACAUACCAGAUCACAUCAAUUAUCGCUAGCUAUGGAAAACAAAGGAUCGCACAAAAGCACCCUCAAAAUGCACUGCCAACACUCCAGCAGGCUGAUACAUCUGAUGUUGGAAAGCAACCUGGCAGCAGUCAAGUUCAUGGCCUUCCCACUCCAUCAAAGAUACUUCCUAUGCAUUCCAUACAUCUGCAGACUCCAGAAGGAAAAGAUCCUAAGCAUUCUGCAGAUAUAA
This is an RNA transcript of Panicum virgatum (switchgrass), 1682 nucleotides long. RefSeq lists it as uncharacterized. The transcript has 9 exons. The record is from RefSeq and is a predicted model, not a curated record. Lineage: Eukaryota; Viridiplantae; Streptophyta; Magnoliopsida; Poales; Poaceae.